Non-coding RNA from Triticum urartu, 115 nucleotides. NCBI's taxonomy places the organism in Eukaryota, Viridiplantae, Streptophyta, Magnoliopsida, Poales, Poaceae. The record is from Rfam.
UACCUACUCCCUCCGUUCCAAAUUACUCGUCGCAAAAAUAGAUGUAUUUAGAACUAAAAUACAUCUAGAUACAUCCAUACCUGCGACAAGUAAUUCGGAACGGACGGAGUAGUUA